This 2512-nucleotide long non-coding RNA is filed under the name Sus scrofa (pig). Its description in RNAcentral is "lncRNA (ENSSSCG00060012721.1)". The record is from RNAcentral. Lineage: Eukaryota; Metazoa; Chordata; Mammalia; Artiodactyla; Suidae.
CAGUUCAAUGGAUGCUCAAUUGAGGUGGAGAGGAAAAAAAUCACAACAGGAAAAUUGCAGAGCUUGGCAAUUCCUCAGUAUGACAAGGUCCCAUUUCUCAUAGAUCCACCAGCAAAUCAAACCAGGUGUGUCCCUAGAGUCUGAUAACAGAGGACUGACCUUCCUAUUCUUAUACUCAUCACGUGAUUAAGGAAGUCAAAGAACCCGCCAAAGUGUUGCUGUAGGUGAAAGACAGAAGAAAUACUGGCUAAGAUUGACACAAGAAGAUGAGGUUCUGGUGAAUUCAUCACCAGAUUGAGGAAGUGAAGUUUUGUAACCCUAAGGUCAACACCACAUUUAGUGCUGAAAUUGCCUCCAAAUCCUUUCUGAUAAGUGACCUCCAGCCUCUGGCACUCUCUUAGCCUACUGCCAAACUCACUGUUAUUCUGGAGUUGAACAGCUCCGCCUCUAAUGUGACUCAUAUUUUCCAUUAAGUCAUUUCCUUUCUGACUCAUACCAACAGCCAAUUCCUUUACUGAACACUUAGCAAAGGAGUUUUCUGACAUCCACUUAUAUAAAGUCAUGUCACCAUGAAACUGACUUUUCACACGAGUAUGCCUUUUGUCUCCCCCAAAACUUAUUAUUUAUUGAAUACACGAGUAGAAGAGCUGAAUACCUUCGGGCUGUGGAAUGUGGAAACGGUAAUCAGCACCUUUCCAUCCUGAACAGUAAUCAACACCCUUGUCAUCAGAAGCUUGAGACCUCUGAAGCUAAAGAAGAAAACAGCUACAAUAUGUAAUUGUGGUAAAAGGAAUUAGUGUACAGAUAUUUAUCCUCCUGUCCCUCUACCAUGGGGGAUUCUCUUCACUCCAGGAAUGCUAAUCUUGCCAUGUGACUUGCUUUGGCCAGUGGAAUUUGAGUGGUCUUAAAAUGUGCCACAGUGAUCAGUCAUGUUAAAAUGUGCUGUGUUGCUUGGCUCGGUUGCUCUCACUUUUCUCUUCUGCUUACAAGAUUAAGCACAUCUCAAGUCAGUUUUUCCUUCAGCCUAGAACAAUGAUGAAGACACAUAGAGUACAUGUGAAUCUAACUCACGGCCUCAAGUAUAGCUGGAUCCUAGUGUCCCUAUAACAUGAACAAGGAAAACUGUUAUUUUUUCAGUGAACCAAUGAGAUUUGGGAGUUGUUUCAUAGCCUAACCCAGGGAAAGCCGAUUGCUGAAGUUGUGAGCUCAAGAUUUCUUGCACUUCAGCUUAUGACAGGUCAAGACUGAGUAAGGAAAAGAAAAUGCACUGUUUUCUUCUAGUAUAUCCAAAAAAUGAUUCUAGAUUUCACCUAUCUUUCUACUUUUAUCUCCUUAUGCAAACUCAUAAUUGAACUCUGUCAGUUCUUUUUAAAAGAAUCUUUCCUACACACUUUUCAUGAAGGCCUGCUUCUACAACCACAUUUUCUAUUUUCACUGUGUGACCCUUUUCUUUCCUCAAUAAUAAUUAAACGUUUCUUCACUUCUAAGAAAAGAACAAAGAAACCUGAUGGUCUCUGAAAAAGCACCUCCAGGCUCAAGCUGUUGUGUCACAACUUGCCUCAUAGACAAAUUUAACAAUUUGUUAAAAAAAAAAAUAUCCACUCUCCCGGAGUAUAACUUCCCACACACUGACUGUGAGAACGGCCAUCUACACCACCUUGGUCAAUAGGCUAUUAAGCAGACAUGGUUCAAGGAGGAGCUUGAGGUUUGCUUAUGCAGUGGAGCUUGCUGUCUUCUGACUCUGCUACACCCUAAGAAUGUGCCCUGGUUAGCCCGCUGGCCCAGGAAGGAUGAGGGAAAAGUGGAGGAAAGCUGCCUGAUUAACUUGCAGCUUGAAGCAGAGCCUCACAGCCAAGUCCAGCUCAGAUCAGUUCCUCAGCUGACCUUCAGAUGCAUAAGCCGUCCAACUGAGAUCAGUGGUCAUCUCAGCCAAUCUCCAGGAGUCUAGCUGUGGAUCCAUCACAUGAGUGAAGCUGGUUCCUGACCCAAAUACAAAUCUGUGGUCCUCUGCAGUUACAAAAAGAGACAUCUACAGCAUUAGCUGCAUGUCAGUACUUCUGUGAGUCUGUACUGGGGGCUCUGGUUAAAAUUGAGGUAUCUUAGAUAUGUAAUGACUGACUAAUAGCCACUCAUAAUAGCAUUUUAAUUUUUGCUCAUGUCCCUUUGCUUGCUUCCUGAUUUAAUCAAUUAUUGGAGUAUAUGAGAUCUAAACUUGUUAUCUCUCCUAUAUUGAUACUAGAUACCUGACCUCUCUUCUAAGGUAACUCUUGUAAUAAUGGAGUUGUACCAAAACUUAGGGUCAUCACUGUUUUCACAUAUAAGCUGCUGACUCCAAAUGUAAUGAUGGCUAUUAUUUCUCUUUACUGUCUCAUCUCACUGGUGUCAGCUGCUUCCUGGAAAGAAAUACUCUAUGUUGUGUCAGAUUGUAGCCAGAAGUGGAAACCUAAGUGAGUGUUGGGUGUUAUUUAACCCAUAAAUCAUCCAUGAAUAAAAUCUCCCAUGAGUGGUCCUG